AAUUUUGAAAAUAUUUCAUGUGUUUUUAAUUGCUGCACAAGUUCCUUGGUAAAGAGGUAGAGUGCUGUUAUUCAUUGUUAAUAAAGCUGUAUGUUACCUGGACCAAACUUGUUCCUCUUGGUGGAUUAUUUAUUUGUCAAGGAAAUAACAGCCAGGGGGCUUCAAGUCUAGAUGAAAACAAAAUGGAUAAAUGGAAAGCCUUUGUAUUACUAUGAUUAAACUCAGCAGGUCUAGGUUUAGGUGUAUCUAUAAUAUGCAGAUCAUGCCUUCCCUGUCCCUAAGUUACAGUUUUCAUAAGAUUAGUAACUAGUAUUGUUGAACUGCUGGAGGAUGAAUCUGACACAGCAGUUGUAAUUUGUUGCAGGGAGGGAAUUUGUUUUGGUACGGACCCAGAAAUACGGAUGCACGGUGAGAAGGAACAUAGAGUUCCAUCUUGUAACAUGUUUCAAGCUGAAGGAAUGGCUAGCCAAGGUUGCGGUAGGUCCAGAAAUACGGAGUCAGCCAACCCAGAAAACUGAUCAAGAAAUCCCUCACCCUGAAUAUCUCGGACUCCCACAGUGACUAAAGUGCUUAUUCCAGUCCUCUCGAAGUCCUCUCUGUUGAAGGAGUGAAAAUAGUAAAACAUCCCUUCUUUCGCGAACCAACACAGAAGAAUCAAAGAAAAAAAAAGCAACAAAUAUGAAGUUUGAAAUAACCAUCACUUCGCAUAUUCAAAUUCAGUUCAGUAGCCAUAUGUUGCAGAAUUCGUGUGGUAGUCAGGAAAACCAUCAAUGGGGUUGGAGGUUUCCAUGUGGUAGUCAGGAAAACCAUCUACCAUGAUCUCACAGAUAUUAUCAAUCUCCCUGCUCCAACAUGCACUUGCAUGCCAUUCCAAAGGCUGUU
This 882-nucleotide long non-coding RNA is filed under the name Gossypium raimondii (Peruvian cotton). RNAcentral's name for it is "long non-coding RNA (GRAI_LNC011266)". Lineage: Eukaryota; Viridiplantae; Streptophyta; Magnoliopsida; Malvales; Malvaceae. The record is from RNAcentral.